Molecule: unclassified non-coding RNA, 395 nt
Filed under: soil metagenome
Description: partial contains 5.8S ribosomal RNA, internal transcribed spacer 2, and large subunit ribosomal RNA
Rfam family: 5.8S ribosomal RNA (bases 1-122)
Source: RNAcentral
GAUGAAGAACGUAGCGAAAUGCGAUACUUGGUGUGAAUUGCAGAAUCCCGUGAACCAUCGAGUCUUUGAACGCAAGUUGCGCCCGAAGCCAUCAGGUUGAGGGCACGCCUGCCUGGGCGUCACAUAUCGUUGCCCAAUGCCUAUUGCAGUGCAAUAGGAAUUUCUAGGGCGAAUGAUGGCUUCCCGUGAGCGUUGUUGCCUCGCGGUUGGUUGAAAAUCGAGUCCUUGGUAGGGUGUGCCAUGGUAGAUGGUGGUCGAGUUAGAACGAUACCGAUCAUGUGCAUGCUCCCCAAAAUAUGGCCUCUAUGACCCACACGCGUCUUUUGACGCUCAUGACGAGACCUCAGGUCAGGCGGGGCUACCCGCUGAAUUUAAGCAUAUCAAUAAGCGGAGGA